GACAGAGGUGCCAAGCGUUAUGCGGAAUUACUGGGCGUAAAGCGUGCGCAGGCGGCUUCUUAGGCGUGACGUGAAAGCCCCGGGCUCAACCCGGGAGGGUCGUCGUGAACCGGGGGGCUUGAGGCCGGUAGAGGUGGGUGGAACUCCUGGUGGAGUGGUGAAAUGCGUAGAGAUCAGGAAGAACACCCGUGGCGAAGGCGGCCCACUGGGCCGGUACUGACGCUGAGGCACGAAGGCGUGGGGAGCGAACAGG
Molecule: ribosomal RNA, 253 nt
Filed under: uncultured bacterium
Lineage: Bacteria
Description: partial 16S ribosomal RNA
Rfam family: Bacterial small subunit ribosomal RNA
Source: RNAcentral